Molecule: ribosomal RNA, 345 nt
Filed under: Enterococcus faecium
Lineage: Bacteria; Bacillati; Bacillota; Bacilli; Lactobacillales; Enterococcaceae
Description: bacterial SSU rRNA
Rfam family: Bacterial small subunit ribosomal RNA
Source: RNAcentral
GUCGAACGCUUCUUUUUCCACCGGAGCUUGCUCCACCGGAAAAAGAGGAGUGGCGAACGGGUGAGUAACACGUGGGUAACCUGCCCAUCAGAAGGGGAUAACACUUGGAAACAGGUGCUAAUACCGUAUAACAAUCAAAACCGCAUGGUUUUGAUUUGAAAGGCGCUUUCGGGUGUCGCUGAUGGAUGGACCCGCGGUGCAUUAGCUAGUUGGUGAGGUAACGGCUCACCAAGGCCACGAUGCAUAGCCGACCUGAGAGGGUGAUCGGCCACAUUGGGACUGAGACACGGCCCAAACUCCUACGGGAGGCAGCAGUAGGGAAUCUUCCACAAUGGACAUCGUCCA